This 392-nucleotide ribosomal RNA is filed under the name uncultured bacterium. RNAcentral's name for it is "partial 16S ribosomal RNA". It matches the Rfam family "Bacterial small subunit ribosomal RNA", at positions 523 to 918 of the family's 1533-position model. The record is from RNAcentral.
AUACGGAGGAUCCGAGCGUUAUCCGGAUUUAUUGGGUUUAAAGGGUGCGCAGGCGGCCAUUUAAGUCAGCGGUUAAAUCGUGGGGCUCAACCCCAUUCUGCCGUUGAUACUGGGUGGCUUGAUUGCGGUCGAGGUUGGCGGAAUUCGUUGUGUAGCGGUGAAAUGCAUAGAUAUGACGAAGAACACCGAUUGCGUAGGCAGCUGACCAGACCGCAAAUGACGCUCAUGCACGAAAGUGCGGGGAUCGAACAGGAUUAGAUACCCUGGUAGUCCGCACAGUAAACGAUGAAUACUUGUUUUCGGCGAUAUAAUGUCGGAGGCAAAGCGAAAGCGAUAAGUAUUCCAUCUGGGGAGUACGCCGGCAACGGUGAAACUCAAAUGAAUUGGCGGGG